UAGGGAAUCUUCGGCGAUGGGGGCAACCCUGACCGAGCAACGCCGCGUGAGUGAAGAAGGUUUUCGGAUCGUAAAGCUCUGUUGUAAGAGAAGAACGUGUGUGAGAGUGGAAAGUUCACACAGUGACGGUAACUUACCAGAAAGGGACGGCUAACUACGUGCCAG
Molecule: ribosomal RNA, 165 nt
Filed under: uncultured bacterium
Lineage: Bacteria
Description: partial 16S rRNA
Rfam family: Bacterial small subunit ribosomal RNA
Source: RNAcentral